GACGAACGCUGGCGGCGCGCCUAACACAUGCAAGUCGAACGAGCGAGAGAGAGCUUGCUUUCUCGAGCGAGUGGCGAACGGGUGAGUAACGCGUGAGGAACCUGCCUCAAAGAGGGGGACAACAGUUGGAAACGACUGCUAAUACCGCAUAAGCCCACAGGUCGGCAUCGACCAGAGGGAAAAGGAGCAAUCCGCUUUGAGAUGGCCUCGCGUCCGAUUAGCUAGUUGGUGAGGUAAUGGCCCACCAAGGCGACGAUCGGUAGCCGGACUGAGAGGUUGAACGGCCACAUUGGGACUGAGACACGGCCCAGACUCCUACGGGAGGCAGCAGUGGGGAAUAUUGCACAAUGGGGGAAACCCUGAUGCAGCGACGCCGCGUGGAGGAAGAAGGUCUUCGGAUUGUAAACUCCUGUU
RNAcentral lists this ribosomal RNA (414 nucleotides) under uncultured bacterium. RNAcentral describes it as "bacterial SSU rRNA". It matches the Rfam family "Bacterial small subunit ribosomal RNA", at positions 28 to 437 of the family's 1533-position model. The record is from RNAcentral.